CGCCCCUGUGGAUCUAGAAGUUGAAGGAUUGGAGAACAAAAUAAAAAAGGAAGAGGAUGAAGAUGGACGUUACUACUUCGAAGGAACCUCAGUCACUGUGGAACACGUCACCUCUGAGGAACAUCUCACCCCAGAGGACCAACAGAAUGAAGGUUUCCAGGUGAAGACUGUAAAAAAGGAGGAAGAUGAAGAUGAACUCAAAACGAACGACGAUUCCUCAUGUCCACGUUCCUCUACAACCCAAAAUCACCUCCACAACCACAUCGAGACGAG
Long non-coding RNA from Trichomycterus rosablanca, 273 nucleotides. RefSeq lists it as uncharacterized. The record is from RefSeq and is a predicted model, not a curated record. The transcript has 3 exons. NCBI's taxonomy places the organism in Eukaryota, Metazoa, Chordata, Actinopteri, Siluriformes, Trichomycteridae.